RNAcentral lists this ribosomal RNA (494 nucleotides) under uncultured bacterium. RNAcentral's name for it is "partial 16S ribosomal RNA". It matches the Rfam family "Bacterial small subunit ribosomal RNA", at positions 28 to 507 of the family's 1533-position model. The record is from RNAcentral.
GACGAACGCUGGCGGCGUGCUUAACACAUGCAAGUCGAACGAUGAAGCGCCUUCCUUUUUGGUGGGUGUGGAUGAGUGGCGAACGGGUGAGUAACACGUGAGUAACCUGCCCCCUUCUUCUGGAUAACCGCAUGAAAGUGUGGCUAAUACGGGAUAUUCUGGGUCUGUCGCAUGAUGGGUCUGGGAAAGAUAUUGUUUCGGUGGGGGAUGGGCUCGCGGCCUAUCAGCUUGUUGGUGGGGUGAUGGCCUACCAAGGCGGUGACGGGUAGCCGGCCUGAGAGGGUGGACGGUCACACUGGGACUGAGACACGGCCCAGACUCCUACGGGAGGCAGCAGUGGGGAAUAUUGCACAAUGGGCGCAAGCCUGAUGCAGCGACGCCGCGUGAGGGAUGGAGGCCUUCGGGUUGUGAACCUCUUUCGCCAGUGAAGCAGGCCUGCCUCGUUUGUGGGUGGGUUGACGGUAGCUGGAGAAGAAGCGCCGGCUAACUACGUG